CCUACGGGGGGCAGCAGUGGGGAAUUUUGCGCAAUGCUCGUAAGAGUGACGCAGCGACGCCGCGUGAAUGACGAAGGCCUUCGGGUCGUAAAGUUCUUUCGACAGGGAAGAAAAUGCCUAUAAGUAACUGUGUAUGUAUUGACGGUACCUGUAUAAGCAGCCCCGGCUAACUCCGUGCCAGCAGCCGCGGUAAUACGGGGGGGGCGAGCGUUGUUCGGAGGGACUGGGCGUAAAGAGCACGUAGGCGGUGUUGUAAGUCAUUAGUCAAAGACUAGAGCUCAACUUUAGUAAGGCUAGUGAUACUAUAAUACUAGAGUAUCAGAGAGGAUUGCAGAAUUCCUGGUGUAGCGGUGAAAUGCGUAGAUAUCAGGAGGAAUACCGUUAGCGAAGGCGGCAAUCUGGCUGGAAACUGACGCUGAGGUGCGAAAGCGUGGGUAGCAAACAGGAUUAGAUACCCCAGUAGUC
This 465-nucleotide ribosomal RNA is filed under the name uncultured bacterium. Its description in RNAcentral is "partial 16S ribosomal RNA". It matches the Rfam family "Bacterial small subunit ribosomal RNA", at positions 338 to 795 of the family's 1533-position model. The record is from RNAcentral.